This is a long non-coding RNA of Rattus norvegicus (Norway rat), 2775 nucleotides long. RefSeq lists it as uncharacterized. The record is from RefSeq and is a predicted model, not a curated record. NCBI's taxonomy places the organism in Eukaryota, Metazoa, Chordata, Mammalia, Rodentia, Muridae.
UUUCCCGAAGGGAAAUAAUAAGCCCCAGGAAAGUAGCCUGAGGCAUGUCGGGAGGAAAAUAGCCCGAGGCAUGUCGGGAAUGCACCUGGGUCGCCUUGGAAGUGAACCGCCACAUUUCACUCUAUCCUGGGUGGACAAGUGUUAGUUACUUCCAGAAACUGGAGAGCAGAUGCUUGGAAAGUGAAGACGACAUGUUCACGGUGCCAAGUCACACGAGGUUGGGACUUUUGUAAAAGUACAUUUCCAACGUAGACGUAAAGCCUAGGAACCACUUCAAUCAAAGCUGUGGGUUAACACACUGCAUCCUUCUACCAAGGGCUAAUUCUCAUCCACUGUUCUACCCACCACCACAGAGUGCCUGAUACAGGGCCUACCUAGUGAAAACACCAUUAUGUGUGGACUUAAAGUAAGCUUUGAUGCACUCCAGGGACUUCAGUGGCUGGAGAUGUGUUGUCUGAAACAUACUUUAAAUGGAAGGAUGCAGCUUAAAAGUAAACAGACAAGAAAAGAUGAUCCGUAAAACCAGUAAUGGUGUCUGUGUCAAGCGAGCAGUCCUUUUACUAGAAACAAAUGGGGCCCAAUGUAAUGAUGAAAGAAUCAAUUCAUCAGAAAGCCUUCACCGUCAUGAGUACCUGUGCAUCUAAGACAGAGCUUCAGAUGAUACAAGUAAUAUAAUACAAGCUAAAAAUAGACACAAACAAAUCUACAAACAUGGCUAGAUUGAUAUAUUUUUUUCAGUAAUGGAUGAAACAAGUAACCAAAGAGUCAUGAAAUAGACAAACACCCAAACCCUGUGUCGACGCCAUCAACUGUAGACACAUCUACUUAGAUCUAAUUGAGAUUCAUCCAGAGAAAACAAUAUUUGUCAUCUCUGGAUUAAAUUAUUUGUGGAAUAUAAAUAAAAGGAGGCUGGGGUGUAGCUCGGUGGAGUUUUUAAUCUAGUAUGUUGCAGAACCCGAGUACCUCCAGUACCAAAAAUAAACCCACCCAAAAUUACAAGAAGAGUCACCAAAGUAGCCCAUAUAAUUGGGACAUAAAACAAAAACUGGUAAAUCUCAAAUACUAAAACCAUACAGCAAAUUCUCUGACCACCAUGGAUUAAAAUAGAAAUUGCUAACAAAAUAAAGCCCGAAGAAUUCAUAUAAGCAACAUCCAUGUAAUACAAAUCAAUAAGGGCCAGCAAGAUGGCUCAUCAGGUAAAGAGACAUGGCACCGAGCCUGAAGAUCUGAAUUAGAUCCCCCAGAUCCACAGAGGAGAAGGUGAGGACCAACUCCCAAGGGCUGUCCUCCACAUGUGCCUGUGCACACAAAAUAAAUAAAUGUAACACAACAACAACCAUAACAACAAUGAUAAAUUACCUCAAGUUUUUUUUUAAAAAAAGGCAAGAAGUUGAAAUGGAAAGAAUUUGUUUCUUUUUUCUUUCUUCCUUUUUUUCCUUUCUUGCAAUGCUAUGGAUCUAUCUCUCACCUACUAGGCAAGAAAUCUACCACUAAAGAAUUCCUCAGCUCCAGAAAAGAAACUUUCCAAAAGAAGAUACUAACUGGCCAAUAAAUCCAUGUCAAGGUGACCAAAGUCAUCAUUCAGUGGGGGAAACACAAAUUUACACUGAGGUAUCACUUCAUAGCCACUACGAUGCCAACAGAUGGCCAAGAGUGCCAACGAAGAAGGGAGCCACCAGGACUCACACACAUUGUGUCAGUGUAAAUUGAUGUAAUCUAUAAGGAAUAGAAUUGGUUACAAGCACCAAUCUCAUGCAUUUGAGAUAAACCGAAUGCAUGUGUGUGCAAAAAAGAGGGUCUUGAAAGUUCAUGGUAGUUUUGUUCACAACAGUUCACAGGGGGAAACAAGCCCAAACGUGUGUUCCUCAGCAAGAGCAUGCACAGACAAAUUUGAGACAUACACAGCCGCAGAGAGGAAUGACCCGGUGGUGCAUGUAACAUGAAUAAAUCCCGAUAGUGGAGCUGGGCGUGGAAAGCAGGAAAAUUGAGAGUUCGAAGCCAACCUGGGUUAUACAGGAAGACCCUUGUCUUAAAAUGUACAUAAAUCUAGAAAGGGUUUAAGAAAGGGCAGCUGUGAGAGAACAUAGCCUGUGCAGUCAUCACAGGAGCUCUAAGGGCCAAGGAAGUUCACCUCUGUCUAUUCAAGUCAAACAGUUAACCUGUGUAUUGGCAGAAGAACCCAGUGACAAGCAAGCAGGGCAUUUCUGAGGGUGGAAACUGACUGGAUCUUUCUAUGGAUGAAGCUUAUAUACACAGGAUGUGUACAUAUGUGAAAACUCAUUAAGUUUGUGUUUUAUUGGAUGCCAGCUAUGCCUCAAAAAUAAAUCCCCACAUACAUGGUUUUCAUUUGAAAAUACAAGACAGACCGAUAACAUUGGGCCCACGCUCCUCCGUGGCCACAGCUGGCUCUUGAAACACAUGUGUCACUUCACCACAGACCUUGCCACAAUGUCGACACCCCAACCCAUCCCGCCCAUUUCUACUGCCUGCCUUGCUCCACAUUGCCUGACUCCAACUACUUUGGCACAUCCUCUCAGGCUGUGAGUCCCGAGCAAAGCACAACAGCAGCCUCCAACCCAGCCUGCCAGCUAGCCAACUGAUCCGGCUUGAAUUGUGUUUCUGCCUGGCGUUUGAAAAUAGGACUGCUUCCUUCAUACAGAGCCAACGACUCGAUGGGACAAGAAGCCUCAAAAGAGCGCUCCUAAAUAAACUUCUGAGUAAUCAAGACUGCUCGAGCAGCUAAUUGGAGAAAUAAAAGAAAUAUGAUAUUCCAAG